CCUACGGGUGGCAGCAGUGGGGAAUAUUGCACAAUGGGGGAAACCCUGAUGCAGCGACGCCGCGUGAGUGAAGAAGUAUCUCGGUAUGUAAAGCUCUAUCAGCAGGGAAGAAAAUGACGGUACCUGAGUAAGAAGCCCCGGCUAACUACGUGCCAGCAGCCGCGGUAAUACGUAGGGGGCAAGCGUUAUCCGGAUUUACUGGGUGUAAAGGGAGCGUAGACGGCAGUGCAAGUCUGGAGUGAAAUCCCGGGGCUUAACCCCCGAACUGCUUUGGAAACUGUACGGCUGGAGUGCAGGAGGGGUAAGCGGAAUUCCUAGGGUAGCGGUGAAAUGCGUAGAUAUUAGGAGGAACACCAGUGGCGAAGGCGGCUUACUGGACUGUAACUGACGUUGAGGCUCGAAAGCGUGGGGAGCAAACAGGAUUAGAUACCCCAGUAGUC
Molecule: ribosomal RNA, 440 nt
Filed under: uncultured bacterium
Lineage: Bacteria
Description: partial 16S ribosomal RNA
Rfam family: Bacterial small subunit ribosomal RNA
Source: RNAcentral